GCUAGCGCGCAGCAAAGCUUGCUAUCGGUUGACGAGCGGCGGACGGGUGAGUAAUGUCUGGGAAACGUGCCUGAUGGAGGGGGAUAACUACUGGAAACGGUAGCUAAUCCCGCAUAACGUCGCAAGACCAAAGAGGGGGACCUUCGGGCCUCCCGCCAUCGGAGGGGCCCAGAUGGGAUUAGCUAGUAGGUGGGGUAACGGCUCACCUAGGCGACGAUCCUUAGCUGGUCUGAGAGGAUGACCAGCCACACUGGAACUGAGACACGGUCCGGACUCCUACGGGAGGCAGCAGUGGGGAAUAUUGCACAAUGGGCGCAAGCCUGAUGCAGCCAUGCCGCGUGUAUGAAGAAGGCCUUCGGUUUGUAAAGCACUUUCAGCGGGGAGGAAGGCGAUAAGGUUAAUAACCUCACCUAUUGACGUUACUCGCAGAAGAAGCACCGGCUAACUCCGUGCCAGCAGCCGCGGUAAUACGGAGGGUGCAAGCGUUAAUCGGAAUUACUGGGCGUAAAGCGCACGCAGGCGGUCUGUCAAGUCGGAUGUGAAAUCCCCGGGCUCAACCUGGGAACUGCAUUCGAAACUGGCAGGCUAGAGUUUUUUAGAGGGGGGUAGAAUUCCAGGUGUAGCGGUGAAUGCUUAGUGAUCUGGAGGAAUACCUAGGCGAAGGCGGCCCCUUAGAAUACCACAGGCGAUCUAACAGAUAUAGCAUCUAAUAUAGUGACUG
RNAcentral lists this ribosomal RNA (721 nucleotides) under Klebsiella pneumoniae subsp. pneumoniae. RNAcentral describes it as "bacterial SSU rRNA". It matches the Rfam family "Bacterial small subunit ribosomal RNA", at positions 62 to 789 of the family's 1533-position model. The record is from RNAcentral. Lineage: Bacteria; Pseudomonadati; Pseudomonadota; Gammaproteobacteria; Enterobacterales; Enterobacteriaceae.